This 85-nucleotide ribosomal RNA is filed under the name Shewanella baltica. RNAcentral's name for it is "partial 16S ribosomal RNA". It matches the Rfam family "Bacterial small subunit ribosomal RNA", at positions 1 to 82 of the family's 1533-position model. Lineage: Bacteria; Pseudomonadati; Pseudomonadota; Gammaproteobacteria; Alteromonadales; Shewanellaceae. The record is from RNAcentral. RNAcentral also lists the same sequence under 1 other name.
UUUAAUUGAAGAGUUUGAUCAUGGCUCAGAUUGAACGCUGGCGGCAGGCCUAACACAUGCAAGUCGAGCGGCAGCGGGAAAGUAG